This 253-nucleotide ribosomal RNA is filed under the name uncultured bacterium. RNAcentral's name for it is "partial 16S ribosomal RNA". It matches the Rfam family "Bacterial small subunit ribosomal RNA", at positions 524 to 776 of the family's 1533-position model. The record is from RNAcentral.
UACGUAGGGUGCGAGCGUUAAUCGGAAUUACUGGGCGUAAAGCGUGCGCAGGCGGUUUUGUAAGCCCGAUGUGAAAUCCCCGGGCUUAACCUGGGAAUGGCAUUUGGGACUGCAAGGCUUGAGUGCGGCAGAGGAGACUAGAAUUCCUGGUGUAGCAGUGAAAUGCGUAGAUAUCAGGAGGAAUACCGAUGGCGAAGGCAGGUCUAUGGGCUGACACUGACGCUCAUGCACGAAAGCGUGGGGAGCAAACAGG